This 253-nucleotide ribosomal RNA is filed under the name uncultured bacterium. RNAcentral's name for it is "partial 16S ribosomal RNA". It matches the Rfam family "Bacterial small subunit ribosomal RNA", at positions 524 to 776 of the family's 1533-position model. The record is from RNAcentral.
UACGGGGGGGGCAAGCGUUGUUCGGAAUUACUGGGCGUAAAGGGCGCGUAGGCGGCCUGCUAAGUCGGACGUGAAAUCCCUCGGCUCAACCGGGGAACUGCGUCCGAUACUGGAAGGCUUGAAUCCAGGAGAGGUGAGUGGAAUUCCGAGUGUAGAGGUGAAAUUCGUAGAUAUUCGGAAGAACACCAGUGGCGAAGGCGGCUCACUGGACUGGUAUUGACGCUGAGGUGCGAAAGCGUGGGGAGCAAACAGG